GUGAACGCUGGCGGUAGGCCUAACACAUGCAAGUCGAACGGCAGCACAGUAAGAGCUUGCUCUUACGGGUGGCGAGUGGCGGACGGGUGAGGAAUACAUCGGAAUCUACUUUUUCGUGGGGGAUAACGUAGGGAAACUUACGCUAAUACCGCAUACGACCUACGGGUGAAAGCAGGGGAUCUUCGGACCUUGCGCGAUUGAAUGAGCCGAUGUCGGAUUAGCUAGUUGGCGGGGUAAAGGCCCACCAAGGCGACGAUCCGUAGCUGGUCUGAGAGGAUGAUCAGCCACACUGGAACUGGGACACGGUCCAGACUCCUACGGGAGGCAGCAGUGGGGAAUAUUGGACAAUGGGCGCAAGCCUGAUCCAGCCAUACCGCGUGGGUGAAGAAGGCCUGCGGGUUGUAAAGCCCUUUUGUUGGGAAAGAAAAGCAGCAGGUUAAUACCCCGCUGUUCUGACGGUACCCAAAGAAUAAGCACCGGCUAACUUCGU
This 490-nucleotide ribosomal RNA is filed under the name uncultured bacterium. RNAcentral's name for it is "partial 16S ribosomal RNA". It matches the Rfam family "Bacterial small subunit ribosomal RNA", at positions 29 to 506 of the family's 1533-position model. The record is from RNAcentral.